RNAcentral lists this long non-coding RNA (1642 nucleotides) under Triticum aestivum (bread wheat). Its description in RNAcentral is "long non-coding RNA (TAES_LNC020485)". The record is from RNAcentral. Lineage: Eukaryota; Viridiplantae; Streptophyta; Magnoliopsida; Poales; Poaceae.
UCCAACGCUGGACAUCACUACUAAAGAGGUACUGUCGGUGAGUAUCACCGUUUAGUUUUUUUAUACUCUAUAGAUUUAUUUAUAUGGACAGCGCAGAUUCAUCUAUUACUUCGACUAAUGUGACUGUAGCAACAUUCACUCCAUUCAUUUUUUGGGGAAACUACAAUAUUCAUUUUGUUCACCUGAACAUUGAAUUAAGGAAUGCAGAAGGUUCAGGGCUUAUGCAAAUUAUUGAAAUUUAAUAUUUGGGGACAAUGGAGAAACACAGGCAGCAGUGUUGAAUUUACACCCGUUGUUGCGCCUGCAGCUCUUCGGCAUCCUUAGCAUGAUAAGCCCAAACACGAAGAUUAUACGCCGCCAUGGAUUUGUGUGGCUGUUUACUUGUUGUCAUCAAACACUUUUUUCCUUAAUAUGUGCAGCUUUUUUGGGGCGUCCAUGGAUGCAAAGGAAUCCCAUGAGUACAAUGUACACUGACAUCAUCUUCAUCAAAUUUUUCAAGCUCAGCAAGUGUGAGGUAACUAAUGCAUGUGUAUUAUCUAUUUCAUCGAAGUGUAAGAUUUCUCCCCUUCUCUUGUUUGUGUUCAAUGGUUGUUGUGGUUUUUGGUUUUGCGUUUCAAUAGUGACAUGUAUUCUGAUUAGGCACUUGCAUAGGUACUGUGUAGAGCUGGAACUUCUAAUAAAAAAUGAUCUAUGCAGUAAAGCAAAGGAGAGAGACUGCAACCUUUUCAGGCUUGAAUCUAUCCCCAUUCUGAAUCUACUUGGUUAUUGAUUCUCAUUUUCAGCAUAUGAAGACCACAUGCUAUUUUUUUUCUAUGCUCUCCUCUUCGGCUCUUCCAUUAUGAUUCAGCAUAUGCUAACUGCUACUUUAGCUUUCAUGCUUGUAUCCUUGGUUAUAUUUUGCAGCGAUCCAAAUUUAGGAUUUGUGUUGAUAUCCGAAGUUCCUAAUGACGAUUGGUCCUUAUUAGUUUCUUUAAAGGAAGCACAACAAGUGGUUGUACUAGGAAGAUUACCUUCACAUGGGAGUUUCUUUUUUCUAAGAACAGGGGAGUCUUUAUUAUUUCACUUGAAAAGAUGAUGUACGCAUUUAAAGUGUAGAAUUUCCAUUUGUAUAUUCAUAUUGUGCUUAACUUUUACUUUCUAAAAAUCAAUAUUGGCUGGCGGUUUGGCCAAUUAUUUAAUAAAUAAAAACCUCAGGUGUUGAUCCCUUUGAUCUCUAGCCAUAUGACUUCCCAUUCAAGAUAUGACGGGGCAUGGAUGUGAUACACCCACAUACAGAGAUGUUUAGGUGUAAAGUUGGGACGAGCAGGCUUGUAGAUGAAGUGUUUGUACUUAUGGCUCAACAAAACUGACUACUCUAGCCUUGCCACCAUUAGUGUAGUGUUAUUAUCUUCCGUCCCAUGUUUUGUUGAAAGAUCUUCCAGAUUCAUGACCCGCCUUAAAAAAAGUACAAUGCAAAUACAACCAUUUAUCGUUACAGCUGAGGGAUUUAGUGUAGAAAGCUACUUUACAAGUAGUCUCAAGCAGGAGGAUAACAGAUUGGUUGAGACGUUAGGGAUCCCCAUCAGUGUUAUAUUAUUUGUCUGCAGGUAUAUUCUCAGCUCCAAAUUCUAGAUAUUAUAGUGAGUAGAUGAGGUGAAAGUAU